GCUCGAUCCGGGCUGGGGCCACGGGGCCUCCUGGGCCCUGGGCUAUGGGGCCAUGGCGCUGGUGUUCCUGCUCGGCUGGUGGGGUGC
This 87-nucleotide transfer RNA is filed under the name Cyanobium sp. Its description in RNAcentral is "tRNA-Arg". The record is from RNAcentral. Lineage: Bacteria; Bacillati; Cyanobacteriota; Cyanophyceae; Synechococcales; Prochlorococcaceae.